GAUGAACGCUGGCGGCGUGCCUAAUACAUGCAAGUCGAACGAACCGUCCUUACGCUUGCUUCUUUCAUUUUACCGACGGACGUGUGAGUCACACGUGGAUAUCCUACCUAUGUAACUUGGCUAACUUCAGGAAACCGGACCUAGUACCAGAUACUAUUUUCAACCACCUCUUUCAAUCGUGAAAGACGUUCUUGCUGUCUCUUUUAGCUGGCUCCGCGCUGUAUUAGCUAGUUGGUAAGGUAACGGCUUACCAAGGCAACGAUGCAUAGCCGACCUGAGAGGGUGAUCGGCCACACUGGAACUGAGACACGGUCCAGACUCCUACGGGAGGCAGCAGUAGGGAAUCUUCCACAAUGGACGAAAGCCUGACGGAGCAACGCCGCGUGAGUGAUGAAGGUCUUCGGAUCGUAAAACUCUGUUAUUAGGGAAGAACACAUGUGUAAGUAACUGUGCACACCUUGACGGUACCUAAUCAGAAAGCCACGGCUAACUACGUG
This 497-nucleotide ribosomal RNA is filed under the name uncultured bacterium. Its description in RNAcentral is "partial 16S ribosomal RNA". It matches the Rfam family "Bacterial small subunit ribosomal RNA", at positions 28 to 507 of the family's 1533-position model. The record is from RNAcentral.